GGACUACUAGGGUUUCUAAUCCCGUUCGCUCCCCUGGCUUUCGCGUCUCAGCGUCAGAAAACGUCCAGGACCUCGCUUUCGCCACGGGCGUUCCUUCCGAUCUCAACGCAUUUCACCGCUCCACCGGAAGUUCCAGGUCCCCCUACGUUCCUCCAGACCGGUCGUAUCCGUGCCCGUUCCCCGGUUGAGCCGGGGGAUUUCAGCACCGGACGGGCCGAUCCGCCUACACGCGCUUUAAGCCCAGUGAUUCCGAAUAACGUUCGCACGGUUCGUCUUACCGCGGCUGCUGGCAC
This 293-nucleotide ribosomal RNA is filed under the name uncultured Planctomycetota bacterium. RNAcentral's name for it is "uncultured planctomycete partial 16S ribosomal RNA". The record is from RNAcentral. Lineage: Bacteria; Pseudomonadati; Planctomycetota.